CUUGAGAAACGGCUACCACAUCCAAGGAAGGCAGCAGGCGCGCAAAUUACCCACUCCCGGCACGGGGAGGUAGUGACGAAAAAUAACGAUACGGGACUCAUCCGAGGCCCCGUAAUCGGAAUGAGUACACUCUAAACCCUUUAACGAGGAUCAAUUGGAGGGCAAGUCUGGUGCCAGCAGCCGCGGUAAUUCCAGCUCCAAUAGCGUAUAUUAAAGUUGUUGCGGUUAAAAAGCUCGUAGUCGAACUUGUGUCCCGCGCCGGCGGUUCAUCGUUCGCGGUGUUUAACUGCCGUGUCCGUGGGACGUCCUGCCGGUGGACUUAGCCCUCUCGGGGGCGGUCCAACUUCAAAUCCCACCGCGGUGCUCUUUACCGAGUGUCGAGGUGGGCCGGCACGUUUACUUUGAACAAAUUAGAGUGCUUAAAGCAGGCUAAAACUUUGCCUGAAUACUGUGUGCAUGGAAUAAUAGAAUAGGACCUCGGUUCUAUUUUGUUGGUUUUCGGAACUCCGAGGUAAUGAUUAAUAGGAACGGAUGGGGGCAUUCGUAUUGCGACGUUAGAGGUGAAAUUCUUGGACCGUCGCAAGACGGACUAAAGCGAAAGCAUUUGCCAAAAACGCUUUCAUUGAUCAAGAACGAAAGUUAGAGGUUCGAAGGCGAUCAGAUACCGUCCUAGUUCUAACCAUAAACGAUGCCAGCUAGCGAUCCGCCGUCGUUCCUCCGAUGACUCGGCGGGCAGCUUCCGGGAAACCAAAGCUUUUGGGUUCCGGGGGAAGUAUGGUUGCAAAGCUGAAACUUAAAGGAAUUGACGGAAGGGCACCACCAGGAGUGGAGCCUGCGGCUUAAUUUGACUCAACACGGGAAACCUCACCAGGCCCGGACACCGGAAGGAUUGACAGAUUGACAGCUCUUUCUUGAUUCGGUGGGUGGUGGUGCAUGGCCGUUCUUAGUUGGUGGAGCGAUUUGUCUGGUUAAUUCCGAUAACGAACGAGACUC
Molecule: ribosomal RNA, 993 nt
Filed under: Xyloryctes faunus
Lineage: Eukaryota; Metazoa; Arthropoda; Insecta; Coleoptera; Scarabaeidae
Description: SSU rRNA
Rfam family: Eukaryotic small subunit ribosomal RNA
Source: RNAcentral